GACGAACGCUGGCGGCGUGCUUAACACAUGCAAGUCGAACGGAAAGGCCCUGCUUGCAGGGUACUCGAGUGGCGAACGGGUGAGUAACACGUGGGUGAUCUGCCCUGCACUUCGGGAUAAGCCUGGGAAACUGGGUCUAAUACCGGAUAGGAGCCAUUUUUAGUGUGAUGGUUGGAAAGUUUUUUCGGUGUAGGAUGAGCUCGCGGCCUAUCAGCUUGUUGGUGGGGUAAUGGCCUACCAAGGCGGCGACGGGUAGCCGGCCUGAGAGGGUGGACGGCCACAGUGGGACUGAGACACGGCCCAGACUCCUACGGGAGGCAGCAGUGGGGGAUAUUGCCCAAUGGGCGCAAGCCUGAUGCAGCGACGCCGCGUGGGGGAUGACGGCCUUCGGGUUGUAAACUCCUUUCGCUAGGGACGAAGCUUUUUGUGACGGUACCUAGAUAAGAAGCACCGGCUAACUACGUG
This 465-nucleotide ribosomal RNA is filed under the name uncultured bacterium. Its description in RNAcentral is "partial 16S ribosomal RNA". It matches the Rfam family "Bacterial small subunit ribosomal RNA", at positions 28 to 507 of the family's 1533-position model. The record is from RNAcentral.